CCUACAUCCAUGUGUGUAGGACCCCAAAAGAUCACCAUUAAAUUUGGCACAGAUCUCUAGAAACGUUAUCACAAGGGUGUGGGACUUGACUUUUCUAGAGAUCUGUGCUAAAUUUAAUGGUGAUCCUUUGGAGUCCUACACACAUGGGUGUGGG
Non-coding RNA from Amborella trichopoda, 154 nucleotides. The record is from Rfam. NCBI's taxonomy places the organism in Eukaryota, Viridiplantae, Streptophyta, Magnoliopsida, Amborellales, Amborellaceae.